Molecule: unclassified non-coding RNA, 261 nt
Filed under: air metagenome
Description: partial contains small subunit ribosomal RNA, internal transcribed spacer 1, and 5.8S ribosomal RNA
Rfam family: Eukaryotic small subunit ribosomal RNA (bases 1-46)
Source: RNAcentral
AAGUCGUAACAAGGUUUCCGUAGGUGAACCUGCGGAAGGAUCAUUACAGAGAGGAGCUCCGCGCUCCAGGGGGUUCGCCCCCGCCUCUCAACCCUGUGAAAACAUACCUUUGUUGCUUUGGCGGGCCUUGGGGUCAUGCCCAUGCCGGGCCUUACCGCCCGGCGCGCGCCCGCCAGAAGCCCACCAAAACUCGUUUAAAUAUGUCGUCAGAGUCUAAACACAAAUAAAGCAAAACUUUCAACAACGGAUCUCUUGGUUCUG